Molecule: ribosomal RNA, 855 nt
Filed under: uncultured Neocallimastigales
Lineage: Eukaryota; Fungi; Neocallimastigomycota; Neocallimastigomycetes; Neocallimastigales
Description: partial large subunit ribosomal RNA
Rfam family: Eukaryotic large subunit ribosomal RNA
Source: RNAcentral
UGUACACGCUGUGACUAGCAUAUCAAUAAGCGGAGGAAAAGUACCUACGCUUAGGAUGUUGACGAGACUGUCGAUCUCAUCUAUACAUGACUCUGUGCAUAUCAAUAAGCGGAGGAAAAGAAACUAACAAGGAUUCCCCUAGUAACGGCGAGUGAAGCGGGAGGAGCUCAAAUUUGAAAUCUUAAAGGGUUUCCCUUUACGAAUUGUAGUUUAAAGAAGUGUUUUCUGUUGAGGUUUUGGUAAAAGUUCUUUGGAAUAGGACAUCAUAGAGGGUGAGAAUCCCGUAUUUGACCUUUACUUUCAACUUUGUGAUACACUUUCAAAGAGUCGGAUUGUUUGGGAAUGCAGUCCAAAAUGGGUGGUAAAUUUCAUCUAAAGCUAAAUAUUGGCGAGAGACCGAUAGCGAACAAGUACCGUGAGGGAAAGAUGAAAAGAACUUUGAAAAGAGAGUUAAACAGUACGUGAAAUUGUCAAAAGGGAAGCGUUUGACACCAGUGUUGUUUUUCUGAAAAUCAAUUAAAGAACUGUUUAUGCUAAGUUGUUUAGACUUUAUCAGCUAACUGUUUAGUUUUGAGCUUUUCUUUAAUGCACUUUUCAGUUAACAAGUCAACAUCAAUUUCUUUUGCUGUAAAAAAGCUUGAGGAAGGUGGCUUGAGAUUCGUCUUAAGUGUUUAUAGCCUCUUGCCUAUGCAGUCGGAGAGAUUGAGGUCCUGCAGCGUAGAUCCUUCGGGGCUAAAUGCAUUUGUGCUAAGUUAUAGCAUUUUAUAGACAACUUGUUGACUAUGAUUUGUCUUGUAGCUUACUCGCUUAUGUUAUUUUACCUACGCUUAGGAUGUUGAAGAUGUAGCACAUCAU